UACUUAAAUUUAGAGGAUACUACCCAAAUGACAACAAUACAGAGAUUAACAUGGCACUUGCAGAAGGAUGAUACAAAAAUUCGUGAAAUAUUUUUCAUUCUU
This is a small nuclear RNA of Dipodomys spectabilis (banner-tailed kangaroo rat), 102 nucleotides long. The record is from RefSeq and is a predicted model, not a curated record. NCBI's taxonomy places the organism in Eukaryota, Metazoa, Chordata, Mammalia, Rodentia, Heteromyidae.